RNAcentral lists this ribosomal RNA (409 nucleotides) under Neveritis poorei. Its description in RNAcentral is "partial 16S ribosomal RNA". It matches the Rfam family "Bacterial large subunit ribosomal RNA", at positions 1808 to 2587 of the family's 2925-position model. The record is from RNAcentral. Lineage: Eukaryota; Metazoa; Mollusca; Gastropoda; Stylommatophora; Camaenidae.
CAAAAACAUAGCCCUGGUGUUAUUAUACUAGGUGAUUUCUGCUCAAUGACUAAUUAAAUAGCCGCAGUACCCUGACUGUGCAAAGGUAGCAUAAUCAUUUGACUUUUAAUUAAAGUCUGGCAUGAAGGAAUAUACGCAGGGUUAGCUGUAUAAAUAAUAUUAAUAAAAAUUACUAUUUGGGUGAAAAUACCCAUAGUGACAAUAAUAGACGAGAAGACCCUAGAAAUUUCAAAAUAUAGUUUUGUUGGGGCAACAUAGUAGCAGUGUAACCUACAUAAAGGAGCUAGAAGUAUAGGCAGAUUGAUUAAAUUACUCUAGGGAUAACAGCAUUAUACAAAAGUGUUUGUGACCUCGAUGUUGGAUUAGGAAGUUGUAGCUAAGAAAGCAACCAUAACGCUCUGUUCGAGCA